GAGUUUGAUCCUGGCUCAGGAUGAACGCUGGCGGCAUGCCUAAUACAUGCAAGUCGAACGAGAGGAAGGAAAGCUUGCUUUUCUGAAUCUAGUGGCGAACGGGUGAGUAACACGUAGGUAACCUGCCCAUGUGCCCGGGAUAACUUCUGGAAACGGAUGCUAAAACCGGAUAGGUAGCAGACAAGCAUUUGACUGCUAUUAAAGUGGCUAAGGCCAUGAACAUGGAUGGACCUGCGGUGCAUUAGCUAGUUGGUGAGGUAACGGCCCACCAAGGCGACGAUGCAUAGCCGGCCUGAGAGGGCGGACGGCCACAUUGGGACUGAGACACGGCCCAAACUCCUACGGGAGGCAGCAGUAGGGAAUUUUCGUCAAUGGGGGGAACCCUGAACGAGCAAUGCCGCGUGAGUGAAGAAGGUCUUCGGAUCGUAAAGCUCUGUUGUAAGAGAAAAACGACAUUCAUAGGGAAUGAUGAGUGAGUGAUGGUAUCUUACCAGAAAGUCACGGCUAACUACGUGCCAGCAGCCGCGGUAAUACGUAGGUGGCGAGCGUUAUCCGGAAUGAUUGGGCGUAAAGGGUGCGUAGGUGGCAGAACAAGUCUGGAGUAAAAGGUAUGGGCUCAACCCGUACUGGCUCUGGAAACUGUUCAGCUAGAGAACAGAAGAGGACGGCGGAACUCCAUGUGUAGCGGUAAAAUGCGUAGAUAUAUGGAAGAACACCGGUGGCGAAGGCGGCCGUCUGGUCUGUUGCUGACACUGAAGCACGAAAGCGUGGGGAGCAAAUAGGAUUAGAUACCCUAGUAGUCCACGCCGUAAACGAUGAGAACUAGGUGUUGGGGGAAUAACUCAGUGCCGCAGUUAACGCAAUAAGUUCUCCGCCUGGGGAGUAUGCACGCAAGUGUGAAACUCAAAGGAAUUGACGGGGGCCCGCACAAGCGGUGGAG
RNAcentral lists this ribosomal RNA (940 nucleotides) under human gut metagenome. RNAcentral's name for it is "bacterial SSU rRNA". It matches the Rfam family "Bacterial small subunit ribosomal RNA", at positions 9 to 937 of the family's 1533-position model. The record is from RNAcentral.